RNAcentral lists this ribosomal RNA (421 nucleotides) under Vibrio cholerae RC27. RNAcentral describes it as "bacterial LSU rRNA". It matches the Rfam family "Bacterial large subunit ribosomal RNA", at positions 2510 to 2925 of the family's 2925-position model. The record is from RNAcentral. Lineage: Bacteria; Pseudomonadati; Pseudomonadota; Gammaproteobacteria; Vibrionales; Vibrionaceae.
GGCGGUGUUUGGCACCUCGAUGUCGGCUCAUCACAUCCUGGGGCUGAAGUCGGUCCCAAGGGUAUGGCUGUUCGCCAUUUAAAGUGGUACGCGAGCUGGGUUUAGAACGUCGUGAGACAGUUCGGUCCCUAUCUGCCGUGGGCGUUGGAAGAUUGAAGGGGGCUGCUCCUAGUACGAGAGGACCGGAGUGGACGAACCUCUGGUGUUCGGGUUGUGUCGCCAGACGCAUUGCCCGGUAGCUAAGUUCGGAAUUGAUAAGCGCUGAAAGCAUCUAAGCGCGAAGCGAGCCCUGAGAUGAGUCUUCCCUGACAGUUUAACUGUCCUAAAGGGUUGUUCGAGACUAGAACGUUGAUAGGCAGGGUGUGUAAGCGUUGUGAGGCGUUGAGCUAACCUGUACUAAUUGCCCGUGAGGCUUAACCAU